RNAcentral lists this ribosomal RNA (477 nucleotides) under uncultured bacterium. RNAcentral's name for it is "partial 16S ribosomal RNA". It matches the Rfam family "Bacterial small subunit ribosomal RNA", at positions 28 to 507 of the family's 1533-position model. The record is from RNAcentral.
GAUGAACGCUGGCGGCGUGCCUAAUACAUGCAAGUCGAGCGAACAGACGAGGAGCUUGCUCCUCUGACGUUAGCGGCGGACGGGUGAGUAACACGUGGAUAACCUACCUAUAAGACUGGGAUAACUUCGGGAAACCGGAGCUAAUACCGGAUAACAUCCUGAACCGCAUGGUUCAACAGUGAAAGACGGUCUUGUCGUCGGGUGUAGAUGGAUCCGCGCCGCAUUAGCUAGUUGGUGGGGUAGUGGCUUACCAAGGCUAUGAUGGGUAGCCGGACUGAGAGGGUGACCGGCCAAAGUGGGACUGAGAUACGGCCAAGACUCCGACGGGAGGCAGCAGUGGGGAAUAUUGCACAAUGGGAGGAAGCCUGAUGCAGCAACGCCGCGUGCGGGAUGACGGCCGUCGGGUUGUAAACCGCUUUCGCCGGUGACGAAGCGUGAGUGACGGGAAUGGGUAAAGAAGCACCGGCUAACUACGUG